UUCACACAGCGCUAUUGCCUAUGAUUCCACUGGUUGGACUCCACCAAUCGUUGCUGCCGCUGUUGCCUCCACCGGUAAUUGUUGCUGCUACUUUUGGUCUCUGUACAAGUUAGAUUUUAAUUUAUUGGAGUUUAAUAGAUUUGAGACUAAGAGAGCAUUGAUGUUGAGUGAAACUAUGAAAGGGAGAGUGAGAAUGAUUGAGUGAAAAAAAAAGCAUAAAGAAAAAAAAGGGAAAGAGAGGAGAGAGUGUACUUGCAAGGUGAAGCCUAAACUUGAAUACUUGGGUGUUGGAGCCGAUGGUCUAUACAAGAGAAUUGAGAAAGAUAGAGGUCUCUCAAAUAACCGUAGUUACAAGCCGAUGUAUCCCUCAAUUGCCGAAGUGCCAAAUCGAUGUAUCCGUUUGCUCUCCAUUCCACACAGGGCCGUAGAAUAAAAUCUUCUGCCAAUAAAACACAUUUCAAGCCUAUACCAACAUAUCUCACACUGCACAUCUUAAUUUGAGAAUGGGACCGGACCCGCUUUUUAUGAAUGUACGGUGUAAAAUCAUGCUGAUAAAGGGUUGAAACGUAUUAUAUUGGCAGGUGAUCCGGACAUGAAAUUGAGAACAAGCGUGACUGAUGCACGAUUGCUCGACGUGGCUCCAGCAUGCGGAGACACCUUGCUUUGUGAAUCCAAAGGUUCCGGUAUGAGCCGUCCUUGAGACCUGAAAGCCACAGUACCGGCGGCGAUUCACGACAGAAGUCGGUAAAUCUCCCACCCCCCUCUCUCUCUCUCCUCCCCAUUCUGGCUCGGGUCCGGAUCAUCUGCCAACAAAACACGCUCCAAUAUCUACAUAUCUUCUCUGCUUCUCUUUACCAUGUCUUACUGUCCAGCCCCUGUUCUUCGCCAUUCAUGGUUAUCUCAUGCACAAGCAGAUGAAUGCAAGUGAAAACACAUUUUGUUACUUCAUAUGUACGGCGUCUUCUGCAAACAGGUUCUAGUUCGCAGUUUACUUGGGGGCAUGCAAGGGUUCCACCGGAGAAAAAUCGAUCUGAAUGUCCAACCAGCAAUUCGACAGGACUUUAUCGAAUUCAAGUCGAACAUAGAUGCAAUGGAUCCUAUUCAAAUCAGACCCUUUUACAGAGGUUCUCGAGUUUAGCUAGUCAUGGAGUUGACAGAAGAGUGCUACAUUGGGAGUCAUCCAUUCUUGGGAAAUGGUUCUGUCAUAUGUUCGGAUUUUAUCUAUUGGGAUUUUCUUCAUUGAAGAUUGGGUUUGGGCUUCUUAUUGGAUCAACAGAAUUUUGGUAAUCUAGCCCACUUCUGGGCAGUGUUAUCUUAGACUUGUAUCUGUAGGAGUAUCUUUCGAUUGGUUCUAGCAGACUGGCAUUCUUGUCGGUGCCGCUUGGUCAUAAAUGGAAAUCUUGGGUGUACUAAAAUGAUGGAGAUAUUGCAUCAGUUGAUAAGUGAACCUCAUCGUACAUGAAGUGGGUAGCCUGGACGCUUUAAUUGGGGGAUCUAAACUUUCUGGGCGUCAUAUGGGUUCGACACUUGGACUUAACCGUAUGUGGUCUUUUCGUGUAUACUCUCUCGCCCUCUCUCUGGAAAUGGUUCCCUGCAAUGAAAUGAAAAGUGUGGUAUUCAAUCAUGAUGCGGGCAAGUUCUCUGCGAGGAAAAACAUGGUAAAGACCUGAGGAAAUUCGAUAACAGAAGAAUUGGGGAGGUGGGACAUCUUCAAACCAAUGUGGAGGACUUGGAUUAGCGCUUUGGGGUGAUGGCAGGAUGCCUGGUACAACACUUAUGAGGGGUUGAACCUGCUAGUCGCUGUGCUUUUAUGGAGAGAUGAUUGCUGAUUACGUAGGAGACUUUGGACCUGUGGCGAUUGUUUUCCAACUUAAAGUUCAGACUCGCAAUGAUGAUUGAUGAAGACUGGUGUAUUAUAUGGUUCAUACCCAAUUCUGGGCCAGUUUGCUUUCCAUUUACAAAGGCGACCGUAUCGACAGCUGGUAGUUGGUGGUGUUGGACCUGUUAGUGUUAUUCCAUUUCUCAAAGAGGGAAAAGGAAUGGAGGCCAAAGCAAGGCAUGCAGAAGUCACAUGCUCACUAUGAGGUUGGCUUGUGUUAUUCCAUUUCAAGCAAUGAAGGGUUGGACCUGGAAACACUGUUCGUUCUGAUCCGAUUCUUGAACUACAAGUGGCUCAGUUUGGAAGGAGUACAAAGACAAAUGUGUAAAGUGCAAAAUCUUUUAUUUUGUAUUAUUUUGUAUGUAUGUGCACUGCACUUGUUUGUAUUUGUACUCCUUCCAAAGUAAGCCAAACCGGGUUUAAAUAUUACAAAGGGCAAUAAUAAGGUUUCUAAAACAUGGACCUACACGGCUACAGCUACGGCCAUUUAAUGUGUGUGAAGUUGUGAGCUCUUAAAGUUGGGUAGGUUAAUAUCUUAUUAUUUAAUUAUUUUAUACAGGACAAAGCAAUAAAUUGUUCAGUUCAGCAGUCUCUGAUAUUGAAUGGCCAUUCAAGUGAAAAUUUUCAUAACCCUCCCUCCAAAAUCCAAAUGCAAUAAACAAGGUUAAGCAAUGAGCUGAGAUGGGACAAUGAAAAUAUACAUGUGAUUUGAUUGAGAACCAUGGAGGGGCUGUGGACGGGGAUGAAGCA
Non-coding RNA from Nelumbo nucifera (sacred lotus), 2629 nucleotides. The record is from RefSeq and is a predicted model, not a curated record. NCBI's taxonomy places the organism in Eukaryota, Viridiplantae, Streptophyta, Magnoliopsida, Proteales, Nelumbonaceae.